GAACAACCCUGGCGGCCCGCUCAACACAUGCCAGUCGAACGAGCCAGAGAGAGCUUUGCUUUUCCAAGCGAGUGGCGAACGGGUGAGUAACGCGUGAGGAACCUGCCUCAAAGAGGGGGACAACAGUUGGAAACGACUGCUAAUACCGCAUAAGCCCACGGCUCGGCAUCGAGCAGAGGGAAAAGGAGCAAUCCGCUUUGAGAUGGCCUCGCGUCCGAUUAGCUAGUUGGUGAGGUAAUGGCCCACCAAGGCGACGACCGGUAGCCGGACUGAGAGGUUGAACGGCCACAUUGGGACUGAGACACGGCCCAGACUCCUACGGGAGGCAGCAGUGGGGAAUAUUGCACAAUGGGGGAAACCCUGAUGCAGCGACGCCGCGUGGAGGAAGAAGGUCUUCGGAUUGUAAACUCCUGUUGUUGAGGAAGAUAAUGACGGUACUCAACAAGGAAGUGACGGCUAACUACGUGCCAGCAGCCGCGGUAAAACGUAGGUCACAAGCGUUGUCCGGAAUUACUGGGUGUAAAGGGAGCGCAGGCGGGAAGACAAGUUGGAAGUGAAAUCCAUGGGCUCAACCCAUGAACUGCUUUCAAAACUGUUUUUCUUGAGUAGUGCAGAGGUAGGCGGAAUUCCCGGUGUAGCGGUGGAAUGCGUAGAUAUCGGGAGGAACACCAGUGGCGAAGGCGGCCUACUGGGCACCAACUGACGCUGAGGCUCGAAAGUGUGGGUAGCAAACAGGAUUAGAUACCCUGGUAGUCCACACUGUAAACGAUGAUUACUAGGUGUUGGAGGAUUGACCCCUUCAGUGCCGCAGUUAACACAAUAAGUAAUCCACCUGGGGAGUACGACCGCAAGGUUGAAACUCAAAGGAAUUGACGGGGGCCCGCACAAGCAGUGGAGUAUGUGGUUUAAUUCGACGCAACGCGAAGAACCUUACCAAGUCUUGACAUCCCUUGACGAUGCUGGAAACAGUAUUUCUCUUCGGAGCAAGGAGACAGGUGGUGCAUGGUUGUCGUCAGCUCGUGUCGUGAGAUGUUGGGUUAAGUCCCGCAACGAGCGCAACCCUUAUGGUCAGUUACUACGCAAGAGGACUCUGGCCAGACUGCCGUUGACAAAACGGAGGAAGGUGGGGAUGACGUCAAAUCAUCAUGCCCUUUAUGACUUGGGCUACACACGUACUACAAUGGCGUUAAACAAAGAGAAGCAAGACCGCGAGGUGGAGCAAAACUCAGAAACAACGUCCCAGUUCGGACUGCAGGCUGCAACUCGCCUGCACGAAGUCGGAAUUGCUAGUAAUCGCAGAUCAGCAUGCUGCGGUGAAAUACGUUCCCGGGCCU
RNAcentral lists this ribosomal RNA (1334 nucleotides) under uncultured bacterium. Its description in RNAcentral is "bacterial SSU rRNA". It matches the Rfam family "Bacterial small subunit ribosomal RNA", at positions 28 to 1381 of the family's 1533-position model. The record is from RNAcentral.